RNAcentral lists this long non-coding RNA (295 nucleotides) under Phaseolus vulgaris (common bean). RNAcentral's name for it is "long non-coding RNA (PVUL_LNC004788)". Lineage: Eukaryota; Viridiplantae; Streptophyta; Magnoliopsida; Fabales; Fabaceae. The record is from RNAcentral.
UCAACACCUGUGGUGUAUGGCCCUCAAAAGCAAGUAAGCUUAAGGUUAAUUUUGGUGAUGAUGCCACCCCUUGACAUCCCUCUUGCUCAUGCACUAAUGAUUAUCCUUAUUAUGCAGAAUUUCAAUUUCUUGUCCCUGUCAGCAGGAAAUAAUGGGUUAAAGGUCCAUAAUAAUAAUAAUUGUAACAAAAUUGGAAGCAGGUUGGAACCAUUAUCAAAAUUGCAAGUGCCUUAUUUUCAGUCACUAGCACAGCAGCAUGGGGUGGUCAUGCCGAUUCCUGUGGCUCAGAGUCAGU